Molecule: non-coding RNA, 28 nt
Organism: Acinetobacter sp. ANC 4558
Lineage: Bacteria; Pseudomonadati; Pseudomonadota; Gammaproteobacteria; Moraxellales; Moraxellaceae
Source: Rfam
AUUCACUGCCGUAUAGGUAGCUUAGAAA